This is a small nucleolar RNA of Pteronotus mesoamericanus, 109 nucleotides long. RefSeq annotates it as small nucleolar RNA U13. The record is from RefSeq and is a predicted model, not a curated record. NCBI's taxonomy places the organism in Eukaryota, Metazoa, Chordata, Mammalia, Chiroptera, Mormoopidae. The transcript has a single exon.
AUACUUUUGUACAAUAGUUCAUAAGUGCAGUGAUUAAGUGUUCAUACUUUUGUGUGAGAUAUGCCUCCCUCAAACCUUGUUACUACAUCAGCAUAUUACCCGCUUCAUG